CUAGCCUCUCCCCUAGUAGCUUUCUCCACCUUCUGAAAUAAAACAUUGUCUCCAAUACAUUCCAAGAAAUUGUUAGAUAAUCUGUGCCCUGCUGUGUUAUUUUCCCAACAAAUAUCUGAGUAGUUGAUGUCCCCCAUCACCAUCAACUCCUGUGCUUUGGAUGAUUUUAUUAGUUGUUUAAA
Chelonia mydas (Green sea turtle) is the source of this 182-nucleotide long non-coding RNA. RefSeq lists it as uncharacterized. The transcript has 3 exons. The record is from RefSeq and is a predicted model, not a curated record. NCBI's taxonomy places the organism in Eukaryota, Metazoa, Chordata, Testudines, Cheloniidae.